CGUACCGUUACUUUCGAAGACCCUUCUCCUAAAAACUUGCGGAACGCUCUCUCAGAUUUUUUCAACGUGAUACAUAUUUCGCAGUGAUACUUUCCUGAACAAUGCUACGAAACCAACGAAUCAUACGCCACCGCGCAUAUCAGGAACCUGUGGAGAUGGAGGAACUUUGCGCACGCAUCAUGUUUCACGGAUGUAUUUGUGGGUGAAUGAAGGGAAGGGUUGGAAAAUAUGUAAAUAAUGCUGCAUCGCAGCUUCGUCACCUAGCGCCCCUGGUAUGUAACACGUGAAAAUCAUGACAUUAAUUUUAUAACCAUGAAACGAGCGCUGUAAGAAAGUAACGUCAACUUGUUGUUUUCAAUUAUCGUUAUAAUCAUUGUUUUUUUAUAAUACAAAUAUUAUCUUUUAUUAAAAAAAAAAAAAUAAUAAAUGUAACAGAUUAUACGUAUGAUUCGCGUAACAGAUACAACGUAAUGUACUCUUGCAUUUUCAUAAAUUGGUACUGUAUGUCAUAAAGAUUUCGCACAAACAAUGUGAAUGCGCCUGAAAAAAUCAAAAUUUUACAAGAAAAGAAAGAAAAGAACGUAGUGCUUUUAUAAAAAAUUCAACAUUAUUUUGUUUUUGUUAUUACUUUGCGCCUAUUUUUCAAAUAAUUCGACAGCUUUAUAGAACUUCGGAUGUAUUCAAUUUACAUUAUAAUGAAAAACCGGGGUAUUACUACACUGAUCGAUUGUGAUAUUCAUCCGUGAAAAUGAGUAGUGUAUGAAUUUAUGAUUAUCCAUAAAUAUGAAUUUACAGGCAAAUGUAAAUAUGAGAAUAAAUUAGAGAAUGGGCUUUAAUAACUGUUGUGUAUGUACGAAUCGUAUAAAAAUGAUGUCGCUGUUGUAUGAUGCAUAUAUAAAUGACAUUCUAUUAAUUCGAAAAAACGUAUCAAACUCAAAUAGGGGAUUUGUGUAAAUACGAUGCAUACUUAUUGGAUUAAAAAUGUAUCUUUUUAUUUCAUAAUAAUUAUUCUAUGCCUAUUCUACAUUAUAUGUGAUAUCAAUUGCGAAAUGAUUAAAGUGAUAUAUAUUGAAAA
Frieseomelitta varia is the source of this 1075-nucleotide long non-coding RNA. RefSeq lists it as uncharacterized. The record is from RefSeq and is a predicted model, not a curated record. Lineage: Eukaryota; Metazoa; Arthropoda; Insecta; Hymenoptera; Apidae. The transcript is spliced from 2 exons.